GAGAUGUGGGUAGUCCGUACGAGCGCACCUUGUCCUUAUUUGCCAGCACGUAAUGGUGGGAACUCUAAGGAGACUGCCGGUGACAAGCCGGAGGAAGGUGGGGACGACGUCAAGUCAUCAUGGCCCUUAUGACCAGGGCUACACACGUGCUACAAUGGAGCGUACAGAGGGUUGCUAAGCCGCGGGGUGGAGCCAAUCCCAGAAAACGUUUCGUAGUCCGGAUCGAAGUCUGCAACUCGACUUCGUGAAGUCGGAAUCGCUAGUAAUCGCGAAUCAGCAUGUCGCGGUGAAUACGUUCCCGGGCCUUGUACACACCGCCCGUCACACCAUGGGAGUGGGUUGCAAAAGAAGUGGCUAGUCUAACCUUCGGGAGGACGGUCACCACUUUGUGAUUCAUGACUGGGGUGAAGUCGUAACAAGGUAGCCCUAGGGGAACCUGGGGCUGGAUCACCUCCUU
RNAcentral lists this ribosomal RNA (457 nucleotides) under uncultured Gammaproteobacteria bacterium. Its description in RNAcentral is "bacterial SSU rRNA". It matches the Rfam family "Bacterial small subunit ribosomal RNA", at positions 1069 to 1532 of the family's 1533-position model. Lineage: Bacteria; Pseudomonadati; Pseudomonadota; Gammaproteobacteria. The record is from RNAcentral.